RNAcentral lists this ribosomal RNA (944 nucleotides) under Chromatiales bacterium. RNAcentral's name for it is "bacterial SSU rRNA". It matches the Rfam family "Bacterial small subunit ribosomal RNA", at positions 1 to 916 of the family's 1533-position model. The record is from RNAcentral. Lineage: Bacteria; Pseudomonadati; Pseudomonadota; Gammaproteobacteria; Chromatiales.
CUUUAUUGGAGAGUAUGAUACCGGCUCAGGACGAACGCUAGCGGCGUGGAUUAGGCAUGCAAGUCGUACGUGAAUCUCCGUUUCGGCGGAGAGGAAAGUGGCGAAAGGGUGAGUAACGCGUAGGUAAUCUGUCUUCGAGAUAGGGAUAACAGUUCGAAAGGGCUGCUAAUACCGUAUAUGAUUGGGACUUCUUUGGAUUUUCCAAUGAAAGGUGGUUUCGUUCGCGAAGCUGUCGCUUGGAGAUGAGCCUGCGUCCUAUUAGCUAGUUGGUGAGGUAACGGCUCACCAAGGCAACAAUGGGUAGCUAGUCUGAGAGGAUGAUUAGCCACAUUGGGACUGAGACACUGCCCAAACUCCUACGGGAGGCUGCAGUCGAGAAUAUUUCGCAAUGGGGGGAACCCUGACGAUGCGACGCCGCGUGAGGGAUGAAGGUUUUCGGAUUGUAAACCUCUGUGUUAUGGGAAGAAUUGCUAGGUGAUGAUAAGUCAGCUAGCUUGACGGUACCAUAGUAGAAAGCCCCAGCUAACUACGUGCCAGCAGCUGCGGUAAUACGUAGGGGGCUAGCGUUGUCCGGAAUUACUGGGCGUAAAGAGUGUGUAGGCGGCCAUGUAAGUCUAGUGUGAAAUCGCUUGGCUCAACCAAGCAACUGCGCUUGAUACUGUAUGGCUUGAGUACGGAAGAGGAAAGUGGAAUGUAAGGUGUAGCGGUGAAAUGCGUAGAUAUCUUAUAGAACACCUAUGGCGAAGGCAGCUUUCUGGUCCGAUACUGACGCUGAGUACACGAAAGCUUGGGGAGCGAACGGGAUUAGAUACCCCGGUAGUCCAAGCCGUAAACGAUGGGUACUAAGUGUAGGGGGUAUUGAUUCCUCCUGUGCUGUAGCUAACGCAUUAAGUACCCCGCCUGGGGAGUACGGCCGCAAGGUUAAAACUCAAGGUAAUUGACGG